RNAcentral lists this ribosomal RNA (1157 nucleotides) under Curtobacterium sp. RNAcentral's name for it is "bacterial SSU rRNA". It matches the Rfam family "Bacterial small subunit ribosomal RNA", at positions 67 to 1237 of the family's 1533-position model. The record is from RNAcentral. Lineage: Bacteria; Bacillati; Actinomycetota; Actinomycetes; Micrococcales; Microbacteriaceae.
CGAUGAUCAGGAGCUUGCUCCUGUGAUUAGUGGCGAACGGGUGAGUAACACGUGAGUAACCUGCCCCUGACUCUGGGAUAAGCGUUGGAAACGACGUCUAAUACUGGAUAUGAUCACUGGCCGCAUGGUCUGGUGGUGGAAAGAUUUUUUGGUUGGGGAUGGACUCGCGGCCUAUCAGCUUGUUGGUGAGGUAAUGGCUCACCAAGGCGACGACGGGUAGCCGGCCUGAGAGGGUGACCGGCCACACUGGGACUGAGACACGGCCCAGACUCCUACGGGAGGCAGCAGUGGGGAAUAUUGCACAAUGGGCGAAAGCCUGAUGCAGCAACGCCGCGUGAGGGAUGACGGCCUUCGGGUUGUAAACCUCUUUUAGUAGGGAAGAAGCGAAAGUGACGGUACCUGCAGAAAAAGCACCGGCUAACUACGUGCCAGCAGCCGCGGUAAUACGUAGGGUGCAAGCGUUGUCCGGAAUUAUUGGGCGUAAAGAGCUCGUAGGCGGUUUGUCGCGUCUGCUGUGAAAUCCCGAGGCUCAACCUCGGGCUUGCAGUGGGUACGGGCAGACUAGAGUGCGGUAGGGGAGAUUGGAAUUCCUGGUGUAGCGGUGGAAUGCGCAGAUAUCAGGAGGAACACCGAUGGCGAAGGCAGAUCUCUGGGCCGUAACUGACGCUGAGGAGCGAAAGCGUGGGGAGCGAACAGGAUUAGAUACCCUGGUAGUCCACGCCGUAAACGUUGGGCGCUAGAUGUAGGGACCUUUCCACGGUUUCUGUGUCGUAGCUAACGCAUUAAGCGCCCCGCCUGGGGAGUACGGCCGCAAGGCUAAAACUCAAAGGAAUUGACGGGGGCCCGCACAAGCGGCGGAGCAUGCGGAUUAAUUCGAUGCAACGCGAAGAACCUUACCAAGGCUUGACAUACACCGGAAACGGCCAGAGAUGGUCGCCCCCUUGUGGUCGGUGUACAGGUGGUGCAUGGUUGUCGUCAGCUCGUGUCGUGAGAUGUUGGGUUAAGUCCCGCAACGAGCGCAACCCUCGUUCUAUGUUGCCAGCGCGUUAUGGCGGGGACUCAUAGGAGACUGCCGGGGUCAACUCGGAGGAAGGUGGGGAUGACGUCAAUCAUCAUGCCCCUUAUGUCUUGGGCUUCACGCAUGCUACAAUGGCCGG